UACGUAGGGGGCAAGCGUUAUCCGGAUUUACUGGGUGUAAAGGGAGCGUAGACAGCAGGGCAAGUCUGAUGUGAAAGGUCGGGGCCCAACCCCGGGACUGCAUUGGAAACUGUCCGGCUGGAGUACAGGAGAGGUAAGUGGAGUUCCUAGUGUAGCGGUGAAAUGCGUAGAUAUUAGGAGGAACACCAGUGGCGAAGGCGGCUUACUGGACUGUAACUGACGUUGAGGCUCGAAAGCGUGGGGAGCAAACAGG
RNAcentral lists this ribosomal RNA (253 nucleotides) under uncultured bacterium. RNAcentral describes it as "partial 16S ribosomal RNA". It matches the Rfam family "Bacterial small subunit ribosomal RNA", at positions 524 to 776 of the family's 1533-position model. The record is from RNAcentral.